UGGGUCAGUCAUAAACUUUUAUCUGCUC
Molecule: non-coding RNA, 28 nt
Filed under: Rattus norvegicus (Norway rat)
Lineage: Eukaryota; Metazoa; Chordata; Mammalia; Rodentia; Muridae
Source: RNAcentral